RNAcentral lists this non-coding RNA (26 nucleotides) under Homo sapiens (human). Lineage: Eukaryota; Metazoa; Chordata; Mammalia; Primates; Hominidae. The record is from RNAcentral.
UACCCACAGGUGUGUUGACUCAAAGC